UACGUAGGGUGCAAGCGUUGUCCGGAAUUAUUGGGCGUAAAGAGCUCGUAGGCGGUUUGUUGCGUCGGCUGUGAAAUCCCGAGGCUCAACCUCGGGUCUGCAGUCGAUACGAGCAAACUAGAGUGUUGCAGGGGAGACUGGAAUUCCUGGUGUAGCGGUGAAAUGCGCAGAUAUCAGGAGGAACACCGGUGGCGAAGGCGGGAUCCUGGGCCAGUACUGACGCUGAGGAGCGAAAGCGUGGGGAGCGAACAGG
Molecule: ribosomal RNA, 253 nt
Filed under: uncultured bacterium
Lineage: Bacteria
Description: partial 16S ribosomal RNA
Rfam family: Bacterial small subunit ribosomal RNA
Source: RNAcentral